This 301-nucleotide ribosomal RNA is filed under the name uncultured bacterium. Its description in RNAcentral is "partial 16S ribosomal RNA". It matches the Rfam family "Bacterial small subunit ribosomal RNA", at positions 509 to 809 of the family's 1533-position model. The record is from RNAcentral.
CAGUCGCCACGGUAAUACAGAGGGUGCGAGCGUUAAUCGGAUUUACUGGGCGUAAAGCGUGCGUAGGCGGCUUCUUAAGUCGGAUGUGAAAUCCCUGAGCUUAACUUAGGAAUUGCAUUCGAUACUGGGAAGCUAGAGUAUGGGAGAGGAUGGUAGAAUUCCAGGUGUAGCGGUGAAAUGCGUAGAGAUCUGGAGGAAUACCGAUGGCGAAGGCAGCCAUCUGGCCUAAUACUGACGCUGAGGUACGAAAGCAUGGGGAGCAAACAGGAUUAGAUACCCGCGUAGUCCCUGUCUCUUAUAA